GGCGUCGCCCGCGCUCGUCGACCAGGUCUUGCGGCCGAGCGCGAACACGCCGGUGCGGCCGACGUCGCGCCAUGCGGUCCGGCUGCCGAGCCGCAACGCAUCGGCCUCGCGCGCGGCGCUCUCGUGCGCAUCGGCCUCGUGCGCGGCCGCUGAGGCGCCCGGCGCGCCGCCCCCGUCGGCCAGUUCGGAGCCCGGGUAACGCGCUGGCAUGAAGCCGUGCGCGACACUGCCGUCGGCAAGCGUGAGCACGCACGGCGCCCAGACCAGAGCGAGCAGCACGCCCGGGCGCGCGAGCCGCCAUCCGGCCAGAUCCGAAAACGGCAGCCAACGAUCAUGCCCGGCGGUCACGACUUCGCAGACCGGCCCGAAUCGCGAAUCGCUGUCGGCGAUCCAGUCGAACGGCGCAUCCGGCCCGCGCCCCGCGACGAACGGCGCGCGAUCGAGCGCGCGCGAACGCGCGCGGUCGGCUUCGUCGCGCGCGCCGGCCGCCUGCGCGCGCAACGCUUCCAGCAGAUCGUCGAUCCACGGCGGCGCAUCGAAUACGAAUCCCGGCCGCGCCUGGCCCGCCAUCACGCGGGCGUGAAAGCGCUCGGCGCGAAUCAGGUCGCGAUAGGCGUGCGCGAUGUGCGCGUGCUGCGCGGCGAACCGCGCAUAAGCCUGCAACUGCCCGACGGCGCGUUCCCCCUGGCCCGUCACGCAGAGCAGUUGAAACAGCGCCCAACGGCUCGCCGCAUCGACGGGCCGGGCGCGCACCGCGGCUUGCGCAGCCGCGAGCCGCGCGUCGAGCGGCGUAUCGUGCGGCCGGGCCGACGUGCGUGCGCCGGGCGGCGCCGGGAAGGCAGGCGUCGUCAUGCGCCGUGCUCCGAAGUCGCGACGGGCGCCGGCAGCGGGCUGUCGAUCGCGAGCGUCUGAUGUUCGCGCCGCGCGAGCGCGGGCGGCAAGCCAGCCGGCCUGCGCGCCGACGCGGCGUGGUAUUCGGCGGGCGCGAAGAGCCGCAAUACUUCCGGGACGGGCUCCGCGUCCGCCGGAUCGGGCGCCUCGCCCGGCGCAAACGUGCCGAAGGCGUCGUCCAGCACGCGCGCCCGGGACAGCAGCGCAUCGAUCGAAUCCGCGCCGUCGGCCGACCGCUGCGGAUCGAUCUGCGGGCCGGCGUCGCGCGUGCGCUCGAUCGCGAGGCGCGCAGCGUCGUCGCUCGCGAGCGACGCCCGCGGAUCGUCGAGCACGCGGCAGUAUUGCUCGUACAGCGUGUGCAGCAAGUCUUGGGCCGCGACCGUGCCGCACACGGCCGAUGCGCCGGCAGCCGUGCCGCCCUGUCGCUCGCCGGGCGUGUCGGCCGCGAACGCCGCG
This 1347-nucleotide ribosomal RNA is filed under the name Burkholderia mallei FMH. RNAcentral's name for it is "16S ribosomal RNA". The record is from RNAcentral. RNAcentral also lists the same sequence under 1 other name. Lineage: Bacteria; Pseudomonadati; Pseudomonadota; Betaproteobacteria; Burkholderiales; Burkholderiaceae.